GGAGGAUUGGCUGAGUGGUCGAUAGCGGCGGUUUUGAAAACCGUUGAUCCGUAAGGGUCCGCAGGUUCGAAUCCUGUGUCCUCCGCCA
RNAcentral lists this transfer RNA (88 nucleotides) under Bdellovibrionales bacterium RIFOXYA1_FULL_36_14. Its description in RNAcentral is "tRNA-Ser". It matches the Rfam family "tRNA". Rfam says of the family: Transfer RNA (tRNA) molecules are approximately 80 nucleotides in length. Their secondary structure includes four short double-helical elements and three loops (D, anti-codon, and T loops). Lineage: Bacteria; Pseudomonadati; Bdellovibrionota; Bdellovibrionia; Bdellovibrionales. The record is from RNAcentral. RNAcentral also lists the same sequence under 4 other names.